CGAUCGUGGUUGGAAUUGGUAGGCGCGCAGGUCUUCGGUGCCAGUGGGUAACACCGUGGAGGUUCGAGUCCUCUCGAUCGCA
This 82-nucleotide transfer RNA is filed under the name Kofleriaceae bacterium. RNAcentral describes it as "tRNA-Arg". Lineage: Bacteria; Pseudomonadati; Myxococcota; Haliangiales; Kofleriaceae. The record is from RNAcentral.